RNAcentral lists this ribosomal RNA (301 nucleotides) under uncultured bacterium. RNAcentral's name for it is "partial 16S ribosomal RNA". It matches the Rfam family "Bacterial small subunit ribosomal RNA", at positions 509 to 807 of the family's 1533-position model. The record is from RNAcentral.
CAGUCGCCGCGGUAAUACGUAGGGUGCAAGCGUUAAUCGGAAUUACUGGGCGUAAAGCGUGCGCAGGCGGUUCGUUAAGACAGAUGUGAAAUCCCCGGGCUUAACCUGGGAACUGCAUUUGUGACUGGCGGGCUAGAGUAUGGCAGAGGGGGGUAGAAUUCCACGUGUAGCAGUGAAAUGCGUAGAGAUGUGGAGGAAUACCGAUGGCGAAGGCAGCCCCCUGGGCCAAUACUGACGCUCAUGCACGAAAGCGUGGGGAGCAAACAGGAUUAGAUACCCGCGUAGUCCCUGUCUCUUAUAC